CGUAACCGGGCUGAAGUCGUACCGUAAGGAGCGGUGGACUGGUUACGAGUGAGAAUGUUGGCAUCAGUAGCGAGAUGUGGGUGAGAAUCCCACAGGCCGAAAACCUAAGGUUUCCUCAGGAAGGUUCGUCCGCUGAGGGUUAGUCGGGACCUAAGCCGAGGCCGAAAGGCGUAGGUGAUGGACAACUGGUUGAUAUUCCAGUACCACUACCAUCGUUAUUAUCGAUGGCGUGACGCAGGAGGAUAGUGUGUGCUAGCUAUUGGAUGCUAGUCUAAGCGUUUAGGCAGUGAGAGUAGGCAAAUCCGCUCUCAUAAUGCUGAGGCGUGAUGGGGAAGGUUCUACGGAACCGAAGUACAUGAUUCCACGCUGCCAAGAAAAGCGUCUAGAGAGAGAAGUAGUGCCCGUACCGCAAACCGACACAGGUAGGUGAGGAGAGAAUCCUAAGGCCGGCGGAAGAAUUACAGUUAAGGAACUCGGCAAAUUGACCCCGUAAGUUCGCGAGAAGGGGUGCCUACGAGAGUAGGCCGCAGAGAAUAGGCCCAAGCAACUGUUUAGCAAAAACACAGGUCUCUGCUAAAGCGUAAGCUGAUGUAUAGGGGCUGACGCCUGCCCGGUGCUGGAAGGUUAAGGGGAACACUUAGCGCAAGCGAAGGUGUGAACUUAAGCCCCAGUAAACGGCGGCCGUAACUAUAACGGUCCUAAGGUAGCGAAAUUCCUUGUCAGGUAAGUUCUGACCCGCACGAAUGGCGUAAUGACUUGGGCACUGUCUCAACUGUAAAUCCGGCGAAGUUGUAGUGCGAGUGAAGAUGCUCGCUACCCGCGAUUGGACGGAAAGACCCCGUAGAGCUUUACUGUAGCUUAGCAUUGAGUUUUGGUAUUGUCUGUACAGGAUAGGUGGGAGACUAGGAAACCAGGGCGUCAGCCUUGGUGGAGUCAACCUUGGGAUACCACCCUGACAGUACUGAAAUUCUAACUGGCGGCCAUGAAUCUGGUCACAGGACAUUGUUAGGUGGGCAGUUUGACUGGGGCGGUCGCCUCCUAAAAAGUAACGGAGGCGCCCAAAGGUUCCCUCAGAACGGUCGGAAAUCGUUCGAAGAGUGCAAAGGCAGAAGGGAGCCUGACUGCGACACCCACAAGUGGAGCAGGGACGAAAGUCGGGCUUAGUGAUCCGGUGGUACCUCGUGGGAGGGCCAUCGCUCAACGGAUAAAAGCUACCUCGGGGAUAACAGGCUGAUCUCCCCCAAGAGUCCACAUCGACGGGGAGGUUUGGCACCUCGAUGUCGGCUCGUCGCAUCCUGGGGCUGAAGUAGGUCCCAAGGGUUGGGCUGUUCGCCCAUUAAAGCGGCACGCGAGCUGGGUUCAGAACGUCGUGAGACAGUUCGGUCCCUAUCCGUCGCGGGCGUAGGAAAUUUGAGAGGAGCUGUCCUUAGUACGAGAGGACCGGGAUGGACUGACCUCUGGUGUACCAGUUGUUCCGCCAGGAGCACAGCUGGGUAGCUAAGUCGGGAAUGGAUAAACGCUGAAAGCAUCUAAGCGUGAAGCCAACCUCAAGAUGAGAUUUCCCAUAGCGUAAGCUAGUAAGAUCCCUUGAAGAACACAAGGUUGAUAGGUCGGGGGUGUAAGCAUGGUAACAUGUUCAGCUGACCGAUACUAAUAGAUCG
Molecule: ribosomal RNA, 1661 nt
Filed under: Clostridium perfringens
Lineage: Bacteria; Bacillati; Bacillota; Clostridia; Eubacteriales; Clostridiaceae
Description: partial 23S ribosomal RNA
Rfam family: Bacterial large subunit ribosomal RNA
Source: RNAcentral